GUUUAGGGUCCCUGUCUUAGAGAGAUGGAGAGUGUCCUCAAAGGAUUGAAGAUCACAGACAUCCUCAACCCCAGAGGCUUCCACAUCCCAAACUGUGACAAUAAGGGCUUCUACAAAAAAAAACAGCUCUCUCUCUCUCUGUAACUCUCUCUCUCUCUGUAACUUUCUCUCUGUAACUCUCUCUCUGUAACUCUCUCUCUCUCUCUCUGUAACUCUCUAUCUCUGUAACUCUCUCUCUCUCUGUAACUUUCUCUCUGUAACUUUCUCUCUGUUACUCUCACUCUCUGUAACUCUCUCUCUAACUCUCUCUAUCUCUGUAACUCUCUCUCUGUAACUCUCUCUCUCUCUGUAACUCUCUCUCUAACUCUCUCUCUCUCUCUCUCUCUCUCUCUCUCUCUCUCUGUAACUCUCUCUCUCUGUAACUCUCUCUCUCUCUCUGUACAUUUCUCUCUGUAACUCUCUCUCUCUCUGUAACUCUCUCUCUCUAACUCUCUCUCUCUGUAACUCUCUAUCUCUGUAACUCUCUCUCUCUCUGUAACUUUCUCUCUGUAACUUUCUCUCUGUUACUCUCACUCUCUGUAACUAUCUCUCUCUGUAACUCUCUCUCUAACUCUCUCUAUCUCUGUAACUCUCUCUCUGUAACUCUCUCUAUCUCUGUAACUCUCUCUCUGUAACUCUCUCUCUGUAACUCUCUCUCUCUGUAACUCUCUCUGUAACUCUCUCUCUCUCUGUAACUCUCUCUCUCUCUAACUUUCUCUCUCUCUGUAAAUCUCUCUCUCUGUAACUCUCUCUCUCUCUCUGUAACUCUCUCUCUCUCUCUCUGUAACUUUAUCUCUGUAACUAUCUCUCUGUAACUCUCGCUCUCUGUAACUAUCUCUCUCUGAAACGCUCUCUCUCUCUGUAACUCUCUCUCUCUGUAACUCUCUCUGUAACUCUCUCUCUCUCUGUAACUCUCUCUCUCUCUCUCUCUGUAACUUUCUCUCUCUCUGUAAUUCUCUCUCUCUGUAACUCUCUCUCUCUCUCUGUAACUCUCUCUCUCUCUCUCUGUAACUUUAUCUCUGUAACUAUCUCUCUGUAACUCUCGCUCUCUGUAACUAUCUCUCUCUGAAACGCUCUCUCUCUCUGUAACUCUCUCUGUAACUCUCUCUCUCUGUAACUUUCUCUCUGUAACUCUCACUCUCUGUAACUAUCUCUCUCUGUAACUCUCUCUCUCUCUGUAACUCUCUCUCUCUCUGUAACUCUCUCUAUGUAACUCUCUCUCUCACUCUCUGUAACUAUCUCUCUCCGUAACUUUCUCUCUCUGUAACUAUCUCUCUCUCUCUCUGUAACUCUCUGUCUCUCUGUAACUCUCUCUCUCUGCUUAACUCUCUCUCUGUAACUCUCUCUCUAACUCUCUCUCUCUCUGUAACUCGCUCUCUGUAACUCUCUCUCUCUGUAACUAUCUCUCUCUGUAACUAUCUCUCUCUGUAACUCUCUCUCUCUCUCUGUAACUUUCUCUUUGUAACUAUCUUUCUAUAACUCUCUCUCUCUGUGACUCUCUCUCUCUGUAACUUUCUCUCUCUGUAACUAUCUCUCUCUUUAACUCUCUCUCUCUCUCUCUCUCUCUCUCUCUCUCUGUAACUCUCUCUCUGUAACUCUCUCUCUCUGUAACUCUCUCUCUCUGUAACUUUCUCUUUGUAACUAUCUUUCUAUAACUCUCUCUCUCUCUGUAACUCUCUCUCUCUCUCUGUAACUUUCUCUUUGUAACUAUAUUUCUAUAACUCUCUCUCUCUCUGUAACUUUCUCUUUGUAACUAUAUUUCUAUAACUCUCUCUCUCUGUAGCUCUCUCUCUCUGUAACUCUCUCUCUCUCUCUGUAACUUUCUCUCUGUAACUCUCUCUCUCUGUAACUUUCUCUCUGUAACUCUCGCUCUCUGGAGCUCUCUCUCUUUGUAACUCCCUCUCUCUGUAACUCUCUCUCCCUGUAACUCUCUCUCUCUCUCUCUGUAACUCUCUCUCUGUAAAUUUCUCUCUGUCACUUUCUCUCUCUGUAACUAUCUCUCUCUUUAACUCUCUCUCUCUCUCUGUAACUAUCUCUCUCUUUAACUCUCUCUCUCUCUCUGUAACUCUCUCUCUAACUCUCUCUCUCUCUCUGUAACUCUCUCUCUGUAAAUUUCUCUCUGUCACUUUCUCUCUCUGUAACUAUCUCUCUCUUUAACUCUCUCUCUCUCUCUGUAACUCUCUCUCUAACUCUCACUCUCUCUGUAACUCUCUCUCUGUAACUCUCUCUCUCUGUAACUCUCUCUCUCUGUAACUCUCUCUCUCUGUAACUCUCUCUCUCUGUAACUCUCUCUCUCUGUAACUUUCUCUUUGUAACUAUCUUUCUAUAACUCUCUCUCUCCCUGUAACUCUCUCUCUCUCUCUCUCUGUAACUCUCUCUCUGUAAAUUUCUCUCUGUCACUUUCUCUCUCUGUAACUAUCUCUCUCUGUAACUCUCUCUCUCUGUAGCUCUCUCUCUCUGUAGCUCUCUCUCUCUGUAACUCUCUCUCUCUGUAACUUUCUCUCUGUAACUCUCUCUCUCUGUCACUUUCUCUCUGUAACUCUCUCUCUCUCUGUUGCUCUCUCGCUGUAUCUCUCUCUCUCUCUCUCUCUCUGUAACUAUCUCUCUAACUAUCUAUCUCUCUGUAACUAUCUCUCUCUCUGUAACUCUCUCUCUGUAACUCUCCCUCUCCGUAACUAUCUCUCUCUGUAACUAUCUCUCUCUGUAACUCUCUCUCUCUCUCUGUAACUUUCUCUCUGUAACUUUCUCUCUGUAACUCUCGCUCUCUUUAACUAUCUCUCUGUAACUCUCGCUCUCUUUAACUAUCUCUCUCUGUAACUCUCUCUCUCUUUAACUAUCUCUCUCUGUAACUCUCUAUCUCUCUCUGUAACUCUCUCUCUGUAACUCUCUCUCUGUAACUCUCUCUCUUUCUCUGUAACUUUCUCUCUGUAACUUUCUCUCAAUGUUACUAGCGCUCUCUGUAACUCUCUCUCUGUAACUCCCUCUCUGUAGCUCUCUCUCUGUAACUUUCUCUCACUCUCUGUAACUUUCUCUCUCUGUAACUCUCUCUCUCUCUGUAACUAUCUCUGUAACUCUCUCUCUCUCUCUCUCUCUCUGUAACUCUCUCUCUCUCUCUCUGUAACUUUCUCUCUGUUACUUUCUCUCUGUAACUCUCACUCUCUGUAACUAUCUCUCUGUAACUCUCUCUCUCUCUAACUCUCUCUCUCUCUGUAACUCUCUCUCUGUAACUCUCUCUCCCUGUAACUUUCUCCCUGUAACUUUCUCUCUUUGUAACUAUCUCUCUCUGUUACUCUCUCUCUGUAACUCUCGCUCUCUGGAGCUCUCUCUCUUUGUAACUCCCUCUCUCUGUAACUCUCUCUCUCUGUAACUCUCUCUCUCUCUCUCUCUCUCUCUCUCUGUAACUCUCUCUCUGUAAAUUUCUCUCUGUCACUUUCUCUCUCUGUAACUAUCUCUCUCUGUAACUCUCUCUCUCUCUGUAGCUCUCUCUCUCUGUAACUCUUUCUCUCUCUCUCUGUAACUUUCUCUCUGUAACUCUCUCUAUCUGUAACUCUCCCUCUCUGUAACUAUUUCUCUCUGUAACUAUAUCUCUCUGUAUCUCUCUCUCUGUAACUUUCUCUCUGUAACUUUCUCUUUGUAACUUUCUCUCUCUGUAACUCUCUCUCUCUGUAACUCUCUCUCUCUCUGUAACUCUCUCUCUCUCUGUAACUAUCUCUGUAACCCUCUCUCUCGCUCUCUGUAACUCUCUCUCUGUAACUCUCUCUCUCUCUGAAACUCUCUCUUUGUAACUUUCUCUCUCUGUAACUCUCUUGCUGUAUCUCUCUCUCUGUGUAAUUCUCUCUAUAACUUUCUUUCUUGCUGUAACUCUCUCUCUGUAAUUCUCUCUCUCUCUCUCUCUGUAACUCUCUCUUGCUGUAACUCUAUCCCUCUCUCACUGUAACUCUCUGUCUCUCUGUAACUCUCUCCCUCUCUCUCUGUAACUCUCUGUAAUUCUCUCUCUGUAACUCUCUCGCUGUUACUCUCUCCCUCUCUCUGUAACUCUCUCUGUUUCUUUCUCUCCCUUUCUCUCUCUCCCUCACACACACAGUGCCGUCCAUCCAAGGGCAGAAAGCGAGGGUUUUGCUGGUGUGUCGACAAGUAUGGGCAGCCAUUGCCAAGUUUCAACGGGAAGGAGAGAGGAGACACCCAGUGCUACAACUCUGAGAGCCAAUAAGACCUGAGCAGCAAGAAG
Molecule: RNA transcript, 4267 nt
Organism: Oncorhynchus keta (chum salmon)
Lineage: Eukaryota; Metazoa; Chordata; Actinopteri; Salmoniformes; Salmonidae
Gene name: insulin-like growth factor-binding protein 3
Exons: 2
Source: RefSeq, a predicted model, not a curated record